GUUGACCUCGGAUCAGGUAGGGAUACCCGCUGACUUAGCCAUAUAAAAAAGGGAGGAA
Molecule: ribosomal RNA, 58 nt
Filed under: Austroafricana parva
Lineage: Eukaryota; Fungi; Ascomycota; Dothideomycetes; Mycosphaerellales; Teratosphaeriaceae
Description: partial 28S ribosomal RNA
Source: RNAcentral